UAUCGCCAGAAUACAUUAGCAUGGAAUAAUACUAUAGGAUCUUGAUUCUAUUUUGUUGGUUUCUAGAAUUGAGAUAAUGAUUAAUAGGGACAAUUGGGGGCAUUCGUAUCAACACGUCAGAGGUGGAAUUCUUGGAUUGUGUUGCGACGAACUACUGCGAAAGCAUUUGCCAAGGAUGUUUUCAUUGAUCAAGAACGAAAGUAAGGGGAUCGAAGACGAUUAGAUACCGUCGUAGUCUUUACCAUAAACUAUGCCAACUAGAGAUGGGGCAUCGUUCACUUACGACUUGCUCCGCACCUUAUGAGAUAUCAAAGUCUUUGGGUUCCGGGGGGAGUAUGGUCGCAAGGCUGAAACUUAAAGGAAUUGACGGAAGGGCACCACCAGGAGUGGAGCCUGCGGCUUAAUUUGACUCAACACGGGGAAACUCACCAGGUCCAGACAUAAUAAGGAUUGACAGAUUGAUAGCUCUUUCUUGAUUUUAUGGGUGGUGGUGCAUGGCCGUUCUUAGUUCGUGGAGUGAUUUGUCUGCUUAAUUGCGUUAACGAACGAGACCUUAACCUGCUAAAUAGAAGUGCCUAUCUUCGGAUAAGCGUCUUUCUUCUUAGAGGGACUUUAUGCGUUUCAGCAUGAGGAAGUUUGAGGCUAAAACAGGUCUGUGAUGCCCUUAGAUGUUCUGGGCUGCACGCGCGCUACACUGAUGCGUUCAACGAGUGUAUAACCUUGCCCGAUAGGGUUGGGUAAUCUUUUGAACACGCAUCGUGAUGGGGAUAGAUUAUUGCAAUUAUUAAUCUUCAACGAGGAAUUCCUAGUAAUGAUGGAUCAUCAGUUCAUCGUGAUUACGUCCCUGCCCUUUGUACACACCGCCCGUCGCUCCUACCGAUUGAGCAAUCCGGUGAAUAUUUCGGACGGAGAUUCUUCGGGGCAACUCGUUAGAAUUUCUGAAAGUCAAGUUAACCUUAUUGCUUAGAGGAAGGAGAAGUCGUAACAAGGUUUCCGUAG
This 999-nucleotide ribosomal RNA is filed under the name Amoebophrya sp. RNAcentral's name for it is "SSU rRNA". It matches the Rfam family "Eukaryotic small subunit ribosomal RNA", at positions 789 to 1808 of the family's 1831-position model. Lineage: Eukaryota; Dinophyceae; Syndiniales; Amoebophryaceae. The record is from RNAcentral.